GUUUGAUCAUGGCUCAGAUUGAACGCUGGCGGCAGGCCUAACACAUGCAAGUCGAGCGGUAGAGAGAAGCUUGCUUCUCUUGAGAGCGGCGGACGGGUGAGUAAUGCCUAGGAAUCUGCCUGGUAGUGGGGGAUAACGUUCGGAAACGGACGCUAAUACCGCAUACGUCCUACGGGAGAAAGCAGGGGACCUUCGGGCCUUGCGCUAUCAGAUGAGCCUAGGUCGGAUUAGCUAGUUGGUGAGGUAAUGGCUCACCAAGGCGACGAUCCGUAACUGGUCUGAGAGGAUGACCAGCCACACUGGAACUGAGACACGGUCCAGACUCCUACGGGAGGCAGCAGUGGGGAAUAUUGCACAAUGGGCGGAAGCCUGAUGCAGCAACGCCGCGUGCGGGAUGACGGCCUUCGGGUUGUAAACCGCUUUCGCCUGUGACGAAGCGUGAGUGACGGUAAUGGGUAAAGAAGCACCGGCUAACUACGUGCCAGCAGCCGCGGUGAUACGUAGGGUGCGAGCGUUGUCCGGAAUUACUGGGCGUAAAGAGCUCGUAGGUGGUUUGUUGCGUCGUCUGUGAAAUUCCGGGGCUUAACUUCGGGGUGGCAGGCGAUACGGGCAUAACUAGAGUGCUGUAGGGGAGACUGGAAUUCCUGGUGUAGCGGUGGAAUGCGCAGAUAUCAGGAGGAACACCGAUGGCGAAGGCAGGUCUCUGGGCAGUAACUGACGCUGAGGAGCGAAAGCAUGGGGAGCGAACAGGAUUAGAUACCCUGGUAGUCCAUGCCGUAAACGAUGUCUACUAGCCGUUGGGGCCUUUGAGGCUUUAGUGGCGCAGCUAACGCGAUAAGUAGACCGCCUGGGGAGUACGGUCGCAAGAUUAAAACUCAAAGGAAUUGACGGGGACCCGCACAAGCGGUGGAUGAUGUGGAUUAAUUCGAUGCAACGCGAAGAACCUUACCUACUCUUGACAUCCAGAGAAUUUAGCAGAGAUGC
RNAcentral lists this ribosomal RNA (984 nucleotides) under Prorocentrum minimum. RNAcentral's name for it is "partial Bacterial small subunit ribosomal RNA". It matches the Rfam family "Bacterial small subunit ribosomal RNA", at positions 11 to 1009 of the family's 1533-position model. The record is from RNAcentral. Lineage: Eukaryota; Dinophyceae; Prorocentrales; Prorocentraceae.